GCCUCACAAGCACAACCUCAGGCCUGUCUGGGACACCUUUCAGCACCCGACAUCCUUCUUUUUCAACGUCUAUGAUAACACCAAAAGACAUAUCGGCUAACAACACAAGAUCAUGCAACUCAUAUUCCCCAAUUUUUGUAACCCCGGAGGUAACCUCAGAACUCUCCACCACAUGAUCAGCAAAGACACGAAUAUCUUCUUUUGUAGUAUCAGAUAAAACAAUCAAAACAUGGCCCUCAACCUUCACCACCAUA
This 254-nucleotide unclassified non-coding RNA is filed under the name Hevea brasiliensis (rubber tree). Lineage: Eukaryota; Viridiplantae; Streptophyta; Magnoliopsida; Malpighiales; Euphorbiaceae. The record is from RNAcentral.